Molecule: non-coding RNA, 3119 nt
Organism: Actinomycetales bacterium JB111
Lineage: Bacteria; Bacillati; Actinomycetota; Actinomycetes; Actinomycetales
Source: Rfam
GUGUAAGUUGAUAAGAGCAUUCGGUGGAUGCCUUGGCACUAGGAGCCGAUGAAGGACGUUGUAGCCUGCGAUAAGCCGCGAGGAGCUGGCAAACGAGCUGUGAUCCGUGGAUGUCCGAAUGGGGAAACCCGGCCGUCGUCAUGGGCGGUCACGCACGUCUGAAUGUAUAGGGCGUGUGAGGGAACGCGGGGAAGUGAAACAUCUCAGUACCCGCAGGAAGAGAUAUUCCGUGAGUAGUGGCGAGCGAAAGCGGAUCAGGCUAAACCGUGCGUGCGUGAUAGCCGGCAGGCGUUGUGCGUGCGGGGUUGUGGGGCAUGAUCGAUCCCUUACUGCCGUGAGGGGCGCUGUGCAGUGUUGUGGGAGCCGAAAGGUCUGGGAAGGCCUGGCGUAGAGGGUGAGACCCCUGUAGGCGGACCGCAACGUGUGUGGUGUGAUUGUGUUCCCGAGUAGCACCGGGCCCGUGAAAUCCGGUGUGAAUCUGGCAAGACCACUUGCUAAGCCUAAAUACUACCUAGUGACCGAUAGCGGACUAGUACCGUGAGGGAAAGGUGAAAAGUACCCCGGGAGGGGAGUGAAAUAGUACCUGAAACCGGAUGCUUACAACCCGUCGGAGCCUCCUUAGCUGGGGUGACGGCGUGCCUUUUGAAGAAUGAGCCUGCGAGUUAGUGGCGCGUGGCGAGGUUAACCCGUGUGGGGAAGCCGUAGCGAAAGCGAGUCCGAAUAGGGCGAUCCAGUCGCGCGUUCUAGACCCGAAGCGGAGUGAUCUACCCAUGGGCAGGUUGAAGCACGUGUAAGAGCGUGUGGAGGACCGAACCCACUUAGGUUGAAAACUGAGGGGAUGACCUGUGGGUAGGGGUGAAAGGCCAAUCAAACUCCGUGAUAGCUGGUUCUCCCCGAAAUGCAUUUAGGUGCAGCGUCGCGUGCUUCUUCCCGGAGGUAGAGCUACUGGAUGGCUAAUGGGCCCUACAAGGUUACUGACGUCAGCCAAACUCCGAAUGCCGGUGAAGUGUGAGCGCGGCAGUGAGACUGCGGGGGAUAAGCUUCGUAGUCGAGAGGGAAACAGCCCAGAUCAUCGGCUAAGGCCCCUAAGCGUGUGCUAAGUGGGAAAGGAUGUGGAGUUGCAGUGACAACCAGGAGGUUGGCUUAGAAGCAGCCACCCUUGAAAGAGUGCGUAAUAGCUCACUGGUCAAGUGAUUCCGCGCCGACAAUGUAGCGGGGCUCAAGCACACCGCCGAAGCCGUGGCACGAUGACAUGUCUCUAGCCGGCCCCUUGCGGGCUUGGUUCAGGGGUCGUCGUGGGUAGGGGAGCGUCGCGUGGGAGGAGAAGCUGCGGGGUGACCCAGUGGUGGAUCCCACGCGAGUGAGAAUGCAGGCAUGAGUAGCGAAAGACGGGUGAGAAACCCGUCCGCCGAAUGACCAAGGGUUCCAGGGCCAGGUUAAUCCGCCCUGGGUUAGUCGGGACCUAAGGCGAGGCCGACAGGCGUAGUCGAUGGACAACGGGUUGAUACUCCCGUGACCGGCGAAGGACCGACCAUACCGAACCUUGUGAUGCUAACCGCCCAAACCAGCGCCACGGUCCUUCGGGACCAGGAGCUGGGGCGCGCGGGACCCGAACUGGUAGUAGGUAAGCGUAUUAACAGGGGUGACGCAGAUUGGUAGCCACGCGAUCCUAAUGGCUUGGAUCGUUUAAGGGUGCAGGGCGAGGUACAGGUAAAUCCGUACCUCAUAUAAGCCCGAGGCCGGAUGAUGACACCGUAUGGUGGAAAGUGGUGAUCCUAUGCUGCCAAGAAAAGCCUCGACGCGAGGGACUAGCCGCCCGUACCCUAAACCGACUCAGGUGGUCAGGUAGAGAAUACUAAGGCGAUCGAGAUAAUCAUGGUUAAGGAACUCGGCAAAAUGCCCCCGUAACUUCGGGAGAAGGGGGGCCCUAUGGGUGAUCACUCUUAACGGGUGUGAGCCUUGCGGGCCGCAGAGACCAGGGAGAAGCGACUGUUUACUAAAAACACAGGUCCGUGCGAAGUCGCAAGACGAUGUAUACGGACUGACGCCUGCCCGGUGCUGGAAGGUUAAGAGGACGGGUCAACCACUUGUGGUGAAGCUCAGAAUUUAAGCCCCAGUAAACGGCGGUGGUAACUAUAACCAUCCUAAGGUAGCGAAAUUCCUUGUCGGGUAAGUUCCGACCUGCACGAAUGGCGUAACGACUUCUCCACUGUCUCGACCAUGAACUCGGCGAAAUUGCAUUACGAGUAAAGAUGCUCGUUACGCGCAGCAGGACGGAAAGACCCCGGGACCUUUACUAUAGCUUGGUAUUGGUGUUGGGUACGGCUUGUGUAGGAUAGGUGGGAGACUGUGAAACAUGCACGCCAGUGUGUGUGGAGUCAUCGUUGAAAUACCACUCUGGUCGUUCCUAACGUCUAACCUCGGUCCGUGAUCCGGAUCAGGGACAUUGCCUGGUGGGUAGUUUAACUGGGGCGGUUGCCUCCUAAAGAGUAACGGAGGCGCUCAAAGGUUCCCUCAGCCUGGUUGGCAAUCAGGUGGCGAGUGCAAGUGCACAAGGGAGCUUGACUGCGAGACAGACAUGUCGAGCAGGGACGAAAGUCGGAACUAGUGACCCGGCGGUGGCUUGUGGAAGCGCCGUCGCUCAACGGAUAAAAGGUACCCCGGGGAUAACAGGCUGAUCUUGCCCAAGAGUCCAUAUCGACGGCAUGGUUUGGCACCUCGAUGUCGGCUCGUCGCAUCCUGGGGCUGGAGUUGGUCCCAAGGGUUGGGCUGUUCGCCCAUUAAAGCGGUACGCGAGCUGGGUUUAGAACGUCGUGAGACAGUUCGGUCCCUAUCCGCUGCGCGCGUUGGAAACUUGAGAAGGGCUGUCCCUAGUACGAGAGGACCGGGACGGACGAACCUCUGGUGUGCCAGUUGUUCCGCCAGGAGCAUGGCUGGUUGGCUACGUUCGGAAAGGAUAACCGCUGAAAGCAUCUAAGCGGGAAGCCUGCUUCAAGAUAAGGUUUCCACCACCCUCGAGGUGGGAAGGCCCCCUAUAGACCAUGGGGUUGAUAGGCCGGAUGUGGAAGCGGGGUAACUCGUGAAGCUGACCGGUACUAAUUGGCCGAUAACUUACACAA